This is a long non-coding RNA of Melanotaenia boesemani (Boeseman's rainbowfish), 614 nucleotides long. RefSeq lists it as uncharacterized. The record is from RefSeq and is a predicted model, not a curated record. The transcript is spliced from 3 exons. NCBI's taxonomy places the organism in Eukaryota, Metazoa, Chordata, Actinopteri, Atheriniformes, Melanotaeniidae.
CGUGCAGAUCUGAUAAAGAAGAGUGACAGCAUUUAUAAAAAUUAGAUUCAAUAUCCCCGGAAGAGUGAGAGCUCAAUACACAGGUUAGAAGUUCAGCCCAUGUCUGAUUGAACCGAUGACAUCCACACAGCACAGUGUGGAGUACAUGGAGGAGAUACCAGGAGACAGGCCCGUAUACCAGGUCGUAUAAGGACAGCAACCAGCAGCAGGACCGCUAUCUGCUCCUUUGUGCAGGAGUAACAGGAGGAGUACUGCUAGAGUCCUUCUGAUGCAGGACAAUGCUCUGGCACAUGCUGCUGGAGGGUGUCAGCAGAUCCUGCAUGAUGAAGGCAUUGAUGCUUUUGACUGGCCUGCCCAUUCAUCAGACCUGAAUCCAGUCUAGCACCACUGGGACAUCAUGUCUCGUUCCAUCCACUGCUGCCGUGUCGCACCACAGACUGUCCGGGGAUUGACUGGUGCCCUGAUCCAGGUGUAGGAGGAGAUCCUGAACAUCUGGUCUCAUCAGAAGCAUACCCAGACAUUGUAGAGUGCAUAAAGGUACGUUGAGGCAAAACACACUACUGAUCCUUACUUUGAGGUUUGAUCUGAUCUUUCCACUUUUAUUGUAAGUAGGA